CCUACGGGAGGCAGCAGUGGGGAAUCUUGUGCAAUGGACGAAAGUCUGACACAGCCACGCCGCGUGCGGGAAGAAGGCCUUCGGGUUGUAAACCGCUUUCAGCAGGAACGAAAAUGACGGUACCUGCAGAAGAAGAUGCGGCCAACUACGUGCCAGCAGCCGCGGUGAUACGUAGGCAUCAAGCGUUGUCCGGAUUUAUUGGGCGUAAAGAGCUCGUAGGCGGUUCAGCAAGUCGGGUGUGAAAACUCUGGGCUUAACCCAGAGCCUGCACUCGAAACUGCUGUGACUAGAGUUCGGUAGGGGAGCAGGGAAUUCCUAGUGUAGCGGUGAAAUGCGCAGAUAUUAGGAGGAACACCAAUGGCGAAGGCACUGCUCUGGGCCGAUACUGACGCUGAGGAGCGAGAGCGUGGGUAGCAAACAGGAUUAGAUACCCUGGUAGUCCACGCCGUAAACGAUGGGCACUAGGUGUGGGUCUCUAACCAACGAGAUCUGCGCCGUCGCUAACGCAUUAAGUGCCCCGCCUGGGGAGUACGGUCGCAAGACUAAAACNCAAAGAUGACGNNGAGAGNGCGAGACGACGACGAGGGAGGAGG
RNAcentral lists this ribosomal RNA (593 nucleotides) under uncultured bacterium. Its description in RNAcentral is "bacterial SSU rRNA". It matches the Rfam family "Bacterial small subunit ribosomal RNA", at positions 338 to 944 of the family's 1533-position model. The record is from RNAcentral.